GUUGCCGGCCAGGCAGCCGCGGGCGUCGGAGAGAAAACCGGCGUUCGAGGAAAGUCCGCACACCGUAGGGCGGGGUUGUCGGGAGACCGACCCGGGGAAACCCGCGGGAAAGUGCCACAGAAAUACACCGCCUAAGCGGCGGGGCCGCAGUGCCCAAGCAGCCGGCUCGGCCGGCUGCGCCGGGAUCCUAUGAGUCCCGUCGCCGGCAAGGUUGAAAUGGUGCGGUAAGAGCGCACCGGCGGCGUGGCGACACGCCGGCCAGGCAAACCCCACCCGGUGCAAGGCCAAGCAGGGACGUUGACGCUGCCCGCCGA
Molecule: RNase P RNA, 314 nt
Filed under: Actinomycetota bacterium
Lineage: Bacteria; Bacillati; Actinomycetota
Description: partial RNase P RNA component class A
Rfam family: Bacterial RNase P class A
About the family: Ribonuclease P (RNase P) is a ubiquitous endoribonuclease, found in archaea, bacteria and eukarya as well as chloroplasts and mitochondria.
Source: RNAcentral